RNAcentral lists this unclassified non-coding RNA (228 nucleotides) under Fusarium pseudensiforme. RNAcentral's name for it is "partial internal transcribed spacer region". The stretch from base 1 to 46 matches the Rfam family "Eukaryotic small subunit ribosomal RNA", at positions 1786 to 1831 of the family's 1831-position model. Lineage: Eukaryota; Fungi; Ascomycota; Sordariomycetes; Hypocreales; Nectriaceae. The record is from RNAcentral. RNAcentral also lists the same sequence under 1 other name.
AAGUCGUAACAAGGUCUCCGUUGGUGAACCAGCGGAGGGAUCAUUACCGAGUUAUACAACUCAUCAACCCUGUGAACAUACCUAUAACGUUGCCUCGGCGGGAACAGACGGCCCCGUAACACGGGCCGCCCCCGCCAGAGGACCCCCUAACUCUGUUUCUAUAAUGUUUCUUCUGAGUAAACAAGCAAAUAAAUUAAAACUUUCAACAACGGAUCUCUUGGCUCUGGC